Vicugna pacos (alpaca) is the source of this 805-nucleotide non-coding RNA. The record is from RefSeq and is a predicted model, not a curated record. NCBI's taxonomy places the organism in Eukaryota, Metazoa, Chordata, Mammalia, Artiodactyla, Camelidae.
UAACCGGGAACCGAUUGGCUUUUGUAGAAACCCGACACCAAAGAGAGUGAGAACUGGGACCGCGUCACGAGUGUCCAGGCCGGAAGGCCCGGGGAGAAGGGAACCCCCAGCACCGAGCGUUCUCGCCCCAGACCCCGCCCUCGGGAAAAUAAAAAAUCAUUCAAGGAAAGGAAAGUCUACUAAAUGCUCAGUUGUGACUAACAUUUCCAUCAUCAUAACAAUGCAAACACUGCACUGUGAGCUAAUCAAAAUGCUAUGUCCUUGGACAAAUUUUUCCAUACAAUCCAGCCCAUCUUUUCCAGCAAUCUAAUCUCUAGGCAGAAGAGCUCAGUCAAAAGGUGAUGGGUCUGGAGCAGAGGACCAGAAUGUGCGUCCUGACACAUGAGCUGAAGAAGAAUGUCAAGUGUUUCACAAGUGUAAGGGAUUUUAAUGUCAUGUGCUUUUUGAAAACAUUAUUUAUGUGCACAAAAGAGAAUUCAAAAGAUACUCAAGAGUAUACAAAAAUAAGUAAGUCAUAUUGUUUCCCUCAUCCCCUGGUCACCCAAGUCCUCUACUCAGAAGCCACUGCAGUUAGUAAUUUCUCACUUAUCUUCCCAGAAAAAUAUAUUUAUGCAUUGCUGUAUACUGUUAUCUGAGUAAAAGCUCCAGCCAUGGACAGAGAGAAAUUAUUUGCAAAUUCACAUAUCUGAUUCAAGACCUGUUUUAGAACAUACAUAGAACCCUUAAACUCAGCAAUAUGAAAGCAAACAACAAUUUAAAAGUGGAGAAAAGUCUGAUAAAGAUUUCAUUAUAGAAGAUUUAUUAG